Molecule: long non-coding RNA, 1014 nt
Filed under: Carica papaya (papaya)
Lineage: Eukaryota; Viridiplantae; Streptophyta; Magnoliopsida; Brassicales; Caricaceae
Description: long non-coding RNA (CPAP_LNC007498)
Source: RNAcentral
CCUAUAUGAUGAAAAUUUAAGAAAAAAAAAUCGACGUAAAAAUAACUGGAAUUGGAUUAUUCUUUGCCUUCUCAUUCUCCCAAGAACCUUUUUAUAUUCCGAAUUGAGCUCUGAAAUGGCUAGCGUGAAUGAAGGAAUAGGGAUUAUAGCAUCACCAAAUCUAAGUGGGGAGCGGAUUCUCUUCCUCCGAUAGAAUUUCCUCUGUCUUCUUGGGAAAUUCAAAUUUCACAAGUUACAGACUGGUAAACCCGAAUCAAGUAAAAAAUUAAAUUGAAAAGUCCUGUUUUUUUACCAUCCACCGAGACAGAGGCGCGCAGUAUUUAAUGGAGCAUUGAAUGCUAUUCCAUGACAUAUGGAUAUUUGCCAAUUGGAUUCCUUCGCUUCAAAUCCCUAAUCCCCCUUUACAAUCUCCAUUAUCGUCUGCAGAGCACAUGGCAGGAUCUGAAAUUUGGAGAUGGAGAUGGCUGAAGACAUGUUUCAAGUCGUCAAUGGACGAUGCCAAGCAAAAACAGAGAGCAAAGGAGAGUGGUUCAGUGUCGAAGACUAGCAGCGUUCACGCAGUGAGAUCGUCGCCGAAUCGUCGACAGUCUUACAGCUCCAUGAACGCUGAAGAACGCGACGAGAAUCUAAAAGCGGCCAUUAUCUACUGCAACAACAAAUCGAGACUUCCAGUGGAGGUGUAGCUUACGCCUGAUUUCAAUUUCACAGUCUUUCAAUAUAGAUAUGGAUAUGAGAUUUUUGGUGAUAAUAUUUGAUUUUUAAAAAAAAUAUAUAUAUCUUUUCCGAUCGGGUGUAAUUCUGCGAUUAAUUGAUUAUUUAGUGUGGUAUUCUCCUAGAGGAACCAGCUUAGCUUCCCACUUUCUCUCUUGUUUGGUUCAUGUGUUGGAUCUGUAUUCCUCAGUUCGUGUUUGAUUGGACUGCUGCUAAAUUGUACCAGUAUGGUUCACACAUUAUUUUUUAUUUUUAAGAAAAUUAAAAAAUAUAUUUUAAAAGAUAAUAAAAAUUGUAUACAUC